UCAUAGAGUCUAGGCUCACGGGAAAGAAGAUUCUCUUGAUUCUAGAUGAUGUUGA
This 55-nucleotide microRNA precursor is filed under the name Glycine max (soybean). RNAcentral's name for it is "miR5373 stem-loop (gma-MIR5373)". The record is from miRBase by way of RNAcentral. Lineage: Eukaryota; Viridiplantae; Streptophyta; Magnoliopsida; Fabales; Fabaceae.